Molecule: unclassified non-coding RNA, 386 nt
Filed under: Chytridiomycota sp.
Lineage: Eukaryota; Fungi; Chytridiomycota
Description: partial contains small subunit ribosomal RNA, internal transcribed spacer 1, and 5.8S ribosomal RNA
Rfam family: Eukaryotic small subunit ribosomal RNA (bases 1-47)
Source: RNAcentral
AAAGUCGUAACAAGGUAACCGUAGGUGAACCUGCGGUUGGAUCAUUAAAAAAAAUCCAAAAUGGAGAUGCUGUCUAGGCAGACAUUUCCAUGGUUAUUGGUCACUCGGCAAGGGUCUUUUAGAUUUUUUCUGAUGAUCAGUAUACCGAUCUACCCCAUGUGAAUUGUACUGUCUCUGGCGGCCGGGUACAAUAGUAAGUCUCCAUACAAAUUGUGUGGAGGCUGAUUCGUGCCUGUCAGCUUGUGGAGGAAACUCUCAGGCCGUGGACAAACCGCCAACCACUUGAUGUUAUCAACUCAACUACCUAAUCUUUUUUUUUAUGUCUGACAAAACUUUUUUGUAAAAUAAUACAAAAACAACUUUUGGCAACGGAUCUCUUGGCUCUC